Molecule: ribosomal RNA, 773 nt
Filed under: Coincya tournefortii
Lineage: Eukaryota; Viridiplantae; Streptophyta; Magnoliopsida; Brassicales; Brassicaceae
Description: eukaryotic LSU rRNA
Rfam family: Eukaryotic small subunit ribosomal RNA (bases 1-167)
Source: RNAcentral
CCGCCCGUCGCUCCUACCGAUUGAAUGAUCCGGUGAAGUGUUCGGAUCGCGGCGACGUGGGUGGUUCGCCGUCUGCGACGUCGCGAGAAGUCCACUAAACCUUAUCAUUUAGAGGAAGGAGAAGUCGUAACAAGGUUUCCGUAGGUGAACCUGCGGAAGGAUCAUUGUCGUAUCCUGGAAACAGAACGACCCGAGAACGUUGAAACAUCACUCUCGGCGGGCUGGUCUCUUAGCCGAUUCCAUGCCUGCCGAUUCCGUGGUUGUGUGUUCCGUCCCCGAUCAAGACUUCAGUCUCGGUUGGUUCGUGCACAUAGCUUUCGGAUAUAACCAAACCCCGGCACGAAAAGUGUCAAGGAACAUACAACUAAACAGUCUGCUUUCGCCAACCCGGAAACGGUGAUUGUUCGGAAGCAGUGCUGCAAUGUAAAGUCUAAAACGACUCUCGGCAACGGAUAUCUCGGCUCUCGCAUCGAUGAAGAACGUAGCGAAAUGCGAUACUUGGUGUGAAUUGCAGAAUCCCGUGAACCAUCGAGUCUUUGAACGCAAGUUGCGCCCCAAGCCUUCUGGCCGAGGGCACGUCUGCCUGGGUGUCACAAAUCGUCGUCCCCCCAUCCUCUCGAGGAUAUCGGACGGAAGCUGGUCUCCCGUGUGUUACCGCAUGCGGUUGGCCAAAAUCUGAGCUAAGGAUGCCAGGAGCGUCUCGACAUGCGGUGGUGAAUCCAAUCUCCUCGUCAUAUAGUCGGUCGUUCCGGUCCAAACGCUCUUGAUGACCC